GAUGAACGCUGGCGGCGUGCCUAAUACAUGCAAGUCGAGCGAACAGACGAGGAGCUUGCUCCUCUGACGUUAGCGGCGGACGGGUGAGUAACACGUGGAUAACCUACCUAUAAUACUGGGAUAACUUCGGGAAACCGGAGCUAAUACCGGAUAAUAUAUUGAACCGCAUGGUUCAAUAGUGAAAGACGGUUUUGCUGUCACUUAUAGAUGGAUCCGCGCCGAAUUAGCUAGUUGGUAAGGUAACGGCUUACCAAGGCGACGAUGCGUAGCCGACCUGAGAGGGUGAUCGGCCACACUGGAACUGAGACACGGUCCAGACUCCUACGGGAGGCAGCAGUAGGGAAUAUUCCGCAAUGGGCGAAAGCCUGACGGAGCAACGCCGCGUGAGUGAUGAAGGUCUUCGGAUCGUAAAACUCUGUUAUUAGGGAAGAACAAAUGUGUAAGUAACUAUGCACGUCUUGACGGUACCUAAUCAGAAAGCCACGGCUAACUACGUG
Molecule: ribosomal RNA, 497 nt
Filed under: uncultured bacterium
Lineage: Bacteria
Description: partial 16S ribosomal RNA
Rfam family: Bacterial small subunit ribosomal RNA
Source: RNAcentral